UCUCUCUUUUCUGUUGCACUGACUGGAAUAUAUUUGUGCAAAUAUCUAGUGCCUAGUACACUAGCAACAACUUUGCCAAGUUCAUAUACUGGACAGUGAAUUUGUAAGCAUCUGCUUUAAUACAUGGCCUGACUUUGGUUCACAGACUCUGGUUCAGGCCUCAGGUCUUGAGCCAGAUCCAGUGCUCCAGGGUCUC
Dermochelys coriacea (leatherback sea turtle) is the source of this 196-nucleotide long non-coding RNA. RefSeq lists it as uncharacterized. The record is from RefSeq and is a predicted model, not a curated record. The transcript has 3 exons. Lineage: Eukaryota; Metazoa; Chordata; Testudines; Dermochelyidae.